AGGCUGUCUUGGAUGGGGAAGAGAGCUCUGAACUGUGGCCACAGUGCAAGUGAAGGCAGGCAGGAGAGAGCCGGUUCAGCAGCUGGAGAUGAAGUUGGAGAUGUAUUUGGGCCAGGUUCUGCAGAAGCUGUGAGUGCAUGGAUUCCAUGCUGAAGACGCCAGGCUCCAGAGCCUCCCUGCAGCAGCAGAUGCCUGCCUUGUGGUACUUUCCUGAUGGUUGGAGGACUGAAUGUUCUGGAAGUGGGGCAGAGGAGGAAGAAGAACAGGAAUCUGUGCUUUGACAAGCUCUUUCUCCAGCAUGGAAAUUUAUUUGUUUACUCCUUGGCUGGGGCUUGAUCAUGUGACUUAUUCUGGAAGAUGAACAACAUGACAGAUAGAAGGAUUUGCAACGUGCUUGUGCUGCUAACAUCAUCAUGCACACGAUGGCUAUCACCUUCAUGCUUCCCCUCCAUUCUGGGUUCAAAAUAAACACACAAAGGUCAGACAAGAGCAGGCAAAGAACCCAUUCUAGCCAAGCUCAUAGCCUAAAGCAAAAUUGCUCAGUCAGCCCAGUCCAGAUCAGACAAUCCUUAACUCACCAAAGAUAAGUGAGGGAAAUUAGUGCUUACUUUUCUUAUGACACUGAGAUUUGUUGUGGUUUCUGUGAUGCACUAAGAGAUGACAGAAACCAAAUGCUCUCAUACCCACUCACCCUUUCAAUCUGCAGAAAACUCCCUAGUACAGAGAGGCCAAGCAUUUUUGUUUUUCUUUGUUAAAUGAGGAAACUGACUCAGAGAGAACUGACUUACUAAGCACAUGAAGCUAGGCAUAUAGAAUCCAGCAGUAAAAAGUUGAAUGUUCUUUCUCAUGAACAAUGAUGACUUUUCCAAAGGAGAUCUGGGACCUGAGGGAGACCCUGGGUUCUUGAGGGUAUAAAGAUAAACUUCUUCCACUUCAUAAUUUCACCAAAGGCCAAUUUGUCAGCAGGGCUAGAAGGCCUGAGCGACCUCCCAGGGACAGUUAAUGAUUGGCCUAUGGCUCACACCAUGACAUUUUCUAUGAUUUGGGUUAAUGCCCAAGUAUCACUGGGCAGAGAUAGAAGGCAGUUUGUCAUGUAUAAAUUUAACAGGCAAUAAUGUCGCUACUAAAUUGUGUAUCAUUCCUAACGAUGUUGUCAGCCCUUUAUCAGCCUAAUUUAUAUUGUCAACAUGAUGUAAUGGUCCCACCAGGCACAGGCCUUCAGAAAUACAAGAUCCACAUGUGAAAGACCAAAGUGAAUUUCCACCAGUUGUCACUCUGAAAAUCAAAUUAGGAUUGCUGAUUUCUACUUCCAAUAACCAGAGAGACUGUACAUAAAAUAUUGAGGAUGGGGCCUGACACACAGUAGGCAUGCAGCUGUUAUUAUUUCAUGCUAUCAUGCAGCUGAACUAGCUAGUGUUGGGAGUUCUGCCUUCAGAGUUCAGAGAAGUGGGAUGGGCUCCAGGAAUGUCGUUGGUAUCAUUCCCAGUUGUCUUUUGUUGACCUUGUUUCCUUUAAGAAAAGCACUGUAAGGUUUAUAGAGUGUCUUCACAUGCAGUAUUUAUACCUCCCUACAGUUCUGGAGGCUGUAGGAGAUGAGACAGGAGGUCACUUGGCACAGAGAAGGUGUUCAGUAAAGAAAAGCUCUCAUUCUCAGCACUCCAAGGUUAGGAAUUCCUAGCUCUCCUACCAUGCAAAUGGCAGCAUCACAACUGUUACCAUUUGACUAGUGGAUUCUUCUCUCAACCCAGAAAUAAUUACAAGGUAGAGAGUUAGAAGAGGACUGAGAAAUUUAUUACAGAGUGAAACCAAAAAGCCCCUGGGUUAUUGAACCUCAGGAGAGGGCCCUAACAGGUUGCCAAAGGGGUCCUUUGUCUAGGGGUUUUUAUACACAAAAGUGACCAUGUCCCAGCCAAGUUGAGAUCAAUCAGUGAGGCUACAAGCAGGAAAGUAUGACCUAGAAGUGGACCUCUAAGAACUUUGGGAAUGUAGCAAGCACACUUUUACAAGCACCAUUCAUUGUAACUUUUAUAAAGUUAGCAGAAUGAGCUGAGCAAAGACAUCCUUUAGAGAAAUAUAACUAUCUUUUUCCCAGGCAAGAAAAUCUCAGCAAUCCAAUGAGGCCUUUUUCUGGCGAGCCUCUGGUGCCCUGCUCUUGGCCAUUGACCCUUCACUGAAUCUUCUCUGACUGCCUGUCCUGUCUGAGGAACUCUUUUUGUCAAAACACUCUCCACACACCACUCACCUCAUGGGCCACUGUCACUCUGAGAAAUCCUGCCAUCUUCCCACAGGGUAUUUCCAACACAGCUCAUUUUCAACACCAUGUUUUAUAGAAACUGAUUGUUUAGAUUACCAUUGGGUUCCCCUUGUUAGGAAAGUAAUACCCAAACCUGAGAAAAUGCGACCUAGGCUCAGCUACACCUAUGGAAGGCUCGUGGUCCAUUCUCCCCAAGUCUCUUGUUAUUUCUGUGCUUCAUUCCCUGCUCUGAAUAUGUUCUUCAUCUGCUGGUGGAGGAGGAGUAUAGGGCUUUUGUUAUCUCCUGUUUCAACA
Non-coding RNA from Heterocephalus glaber (naked mole-rat), 2548 nucleotides. NCBI's taxonomy places the organism in Eukaryota, Metazoa, Chordata, Mammalia, Rodentia, Bathyergidae. The record is from RefSeq and is a predicted model, not a curated record.